Molecule: ribosomal RNA, 855 nt
Filed under: uncultured Bacillota bacterium
Lineage: Bacteria; Bacillati; Bacillota
Description: bacterial SSU rRNA
Rfam family: Bacterial small subunit ribosomal RNA
Source: RNAcentral
CUGCAGUCGAGCGAGGGCUCACUUCCCGCAAGGGAGAUGAGUUCCUAGCGGCGAACGGGUGAGUAACACGUGGGCAACCUUUCCUAUCGCGGGGGAUAACAGCGGGAAACCGCUGCUAAUACCGCAUGUCGUCACCGGUCGCAUGGCCGGUGAAGAAAGCAGCAAUGCACGAUGGGGUGGGCCCGCGGCCUAUCAGCUAGUCGGUGGGGUAACGGCCUACCGAGGCGAUGACGGGUAGCUGGUCUGAGAGGACGACCAGCCACACGGGGACUGAGACACGGCCCCGACUCCUACGGGAGGCAGCAGUGAGGAAUCUUCCGCAAUGGGCGAAAGCCUGACGGAGCGACGCCGCGUGUGGGAUGAAGUCCUUCGGGAUGUAAACCACUGUUGGAGGGGAAGACAUCGACGGUACCCUCCGAGAAAGCCCCAGCUAACUACGUGCCAGCAGCCGCGGUAAUACGUAGGGGGCGAGCGUUAUCCAGAUUUACUGGGCGUAAAGCGCGUGUAGGCGGCUGGUUAAGUGUGAUGUGAAAUCCUCGGGCUCAACCCGAGAACUGCAUUGCAAACUAGCCUGGCUAGAGUGCAGGAGAGGGAAGCGGAAUUCCAGGUGUAGCGGUGAAAUGCGUAGAUAUCUGGAGGAACACCAGUGGCGAAGGCGGCUUCCUGGCCUGUAACUGACGCUGAGACGCGAAAGCGUGGGGAGCGAACCGGAUUAGAUACCCGGGUAGUCCACGCCCUAAGCGUUGCGAACUAGGUGUUGGUCGGAUUGACCCGAUCAGUGCCGCAGCUAACGCAUUAAGUUCGCCGCCUGGGGUACGGCCGCAGGUUAAAACUCAAAGGAAUAGGCGGGGGCCC